This 253-nucleotide ribosomal RNA is filed under the name uncultured bacterium. RNAcentral's name for it is "partial 16S ribosomal RNA". It matches the Rfam family "Bacterial small subunit ribosomal RNA", at positions 524 to 776 of the family's 1533-position model. The record is from RNAcentral.
UACGUAGGGGGCAAGCGUUAAUCGGAAUUACUGGGCGUAAAGCGUACGCAGGCGGCUUUGCAAGACAGGUGUGAAAUCCCCGGGCCUAACCUGGGAACUGCAUUUGUGACUGCAUGGCUAGAGUUUGUCAGAGGGGGGUGGAAUUCCACGUGUAGCAGUGAAAUGCGUAGAUAUGUGGAGGAACACCGAUGGCGAAGGCAGCCCCCUGGGAUGUGACUGACGCUCAUGUACGAAAGCGUGGGGAGCAAACAGG